RNAcentral lists this ribosomal RNA (1027 nucleotides) under Apiospora neogarethjonesii. Its description in RNAcentral is "SSU rRNA". It matches the Rfam family "Eukaryotic small subunit ribosomal RNA", at positions 73 to 1110 of the family's 1831-position model. The record is from RNAcentral. Lineage: Eukaryota; Fungi; Ascomycota; Sordariomycetes; Amphisphaeriales; Apiosporaceae.
AUUAUACGGCGAAACUGCGAAUGGCUCAUUAAAUCAGUUAUCGUUUAUUUGAUAGUACCUUACUACUUGGAUAACCGUGGUAAUUCUAGAGCUAAUACAUGCUAAAAAUCCCGACUCACGGAGGGAUGUAUUUAUUAGAUUAAAAACCAAUGCCCUUCGGGGCUCUUUGGUGAUUCAUAAUAACUUUUCGAAUCGCAUGGCCUUGCGCCGGCGAUGGUUCAUUCAAAUUUCUGCCCUAUCAACUUUCGAUGGCAGGGUCUUGGCCUGCCAUGGUGACAACGGGUAACGGAGGGUUAGGGCUCGACCCCGGAGAAGGAGCCUGAGAAACGGCUACUACAUCCAAGGAAGGCAGCAGGCGCGCAAAUUACCCAAUCCCGACUCGGGGAGGUAGUGACAAUAAAUACUGAUACAGGGCUCUUUUGGGUCUUGUAAUUGGAAUGAGUACAAUUUAAAUCCCUUAACGAGGAACAAUUGGAGGGCAAGUCUGGUACCAGCAGCCGCGGUAAUUCCAGCUCCAAUAGCGUAUAUUAAAGUUGUUGCAGUUAAAAAGCUCGUAGUUGAACCUUGGGCCUGGCUGGCCGGUCCGCCUCACCGCGUGCACUGGUUCGGCCGGGCCUUUCCCUCUGGGGAACCGCAUGCCCUUCACUGGGUGUGCCGGGGAACCAGGACGUUUACUGUGAAAAAAUUAGAGUGUUCAAAGCAGGCCUAUGCUCGAAUACAUUAGCAUGGAAUAAUAGAAUAGGACGUGUGGUUCUAUUUUGUUGGUUUCUAGGACCGCCGUAAUGAUUAAUAGGGACAGUCGGGGGCAUCAGUAUUCAAUUGUCAGAGGUGAAAUUCUUAGAUUUAUUGAAGACUAACUACUGCGAAAGCAUUUGCCAAGGAUGUUUUCAUUAAUCAGGAACGAAAGUUAGGGGAUCGAAGACGAUCAGAUACCGUCGUAGUCUUAACCAUAAACUAUGCCGACUAGGGAUCGGGCGAUGUUAUUAUUUGACUCGCUCGGCACCUUACGAGAAAUCAAAGUCUUUGG